Non-coding RNA from Durio zibethinus, 2415 nucleotides. The record is from RefSeq and is a predicted model, not a curated record. NCBI's taxonomy places the organism in Eukaryota, Viridiplantae, Streptophyta, Magnoliopsida, Malvales, Malvaceae.
UUAUAUUUAAACCUAAUAAAAAUCCCUGUGCAAUAUCCUUCAUUCUCGCUCUCUCUCACUCUCUCGUCUCAACAAGGUCCAAGGGGCGCUCUUAUUUAUCUCUUUGAACCAGACCGAGCCAAUCGACGAACAACCGCCAGCGAGACAGAAGCAUGGCCCCACCAACGGACCACCAGCACCAUCAACUCCACCGCAACCUCACCAACUUCCUCCACACAACCACCACGUCUAUCUUCUCUCUCCUCCCCACUACCAAAACGACACCGAACCUUCCACCUUCCAAAAUAUCCACUCCUUUCCUAUUUGCGGACUCGCCCUUCCGCCUCACUCCUUCGCCCUUCGAGUCAACUCAGCCCGACUCCGUCUCUUCUAAAUCCACAAUCAAGGGCGUGUCUUCGGCCGAGUCAAGCUCCGGCUUCCCAUCAACGGUCAGGAUUGCUGGACUUACUUCCUGUGGAAAGAGCGGUGGCCCCGCCUUCGUCGGCCAAGUCUUUAGCAUGUGUGAUCUUUCCGGGACUGGUCUUAUGGCUGUUUCAACUCACUUCGAUAUUCCCUUUAUUUCUAAGAGAACACCGGAGUGGCUUAAGAAGAUAUUUGCUAACAUUACUAAGAGUGAGAGGAAUGGCCCUGUUUUUCGUUUUUUCAUGGAUUUAGGUGAUGCAGUUUCUUAUGUCAAACACCUUAAUAUUCCGAGUGGGGUGGUAGGCGCUUGUCGUCUUGAUUUGGCAUAUGAACAUUUCAAGGAAAAGCCUCACUUAUUUCAGUUUGUUCCAAAUGAGAAACAGGUAAAGGCAGCCAACAAGCUUCUUAAGACCAUCCCACAAAAUGGUGAAAGGAAAAAGGUUGAUGGUGUUCCUGUUUUUGGUGCUCAAAACUUGGAUAUUGCAAUAGCUACUACAGAUGGGAUUAAGUGGUAUACUCCGUACUUCUUUGAUAAAAACAUACUGGAUAAUAUUCUCGAAGAGUCUGUUGAUCAGCAUUUCCAUGCUUUAAUUCAAACUCGGCACAUGCAACGCCGACGUGAUGUAACUGAUGAUAACUUGGCAGCUGAAGUGAUUGAAGAAAUUGGAGAUAGCAUGUGGGAGCCUCCAGAGGUUCAAGAAGUUUUGGAUGAGAUUGGCCAUACUGCCAUACCUUUGAGUGUUAUUUCAAAGGCUGCUGAGAUUCAGCUUCUCUAUGCUGUUGACAAAGUACUCCUGGGUAAUAGGUGGUUACGAAAAGCCACUGGCAUUCAACCAAAAUUUCCUUAUAUGGUUGAUUCAUUUGAGAGAAGGAGUGCUGCUUCUUUUCUUAGAGCCUCUGAGUCAGCCAGAUGCCUUUCUAACCCUGGAACAGAUAGCAGCACUUCAGAGCUCAAAUCAGUCAAUGAUGUGAAAGCUGACAAUGGACAGAGACAAGAUUUCAGGUUUCCUUUUGGAGAUUGGUUUAAUCAUCCAUGGUUGAAACAAGAGGAGAAACCUAAACAGAGAUCAGAUGCAAGAAUGGAACGCUCAUCAAAGGAAUGGGAAAGGCAAAACUUUCAAGCUAACCCAUUUCUUCCAAAGAUUACAAUGGUUGGUAUCUCAACAGGAGAUGGACAGAUGAGCAAAUCUAGUUUGAAGAAGACUAUGGAAGAUCUAACAAGGGAGUUGGAGAGGACAGAUCAGGAAAAUGGCACUGGUAGUGACAUUAAUGAGUUAAAAAUUGAAGAUAGAGAUCCACUAUUUGUUGCAAAUGUGGGUGAUUACUAUUCAGGCUUGGCAAAGACUAGUUCGGCACGAUGGAUUCGAGGAGGAAACAACUGAAAAAGCCUCGAUGAUGCUUAGUUGGCGUGAAUUUAUUUACUAACAGGUAAAAUUGUAAAGUUAGCAAUGUUUUUUUUUUUUUUUUUGACAUAUCUCCCUCCAAGUCGAAGAAGCUAGAUGUGCCAUGUUGCAUUCACAUAAGGCUAUAUGUAAAGAAAUAAGUUAAAGUGGUCUUUGUGAUCAGUUGAUUGAGCAUAUAGCAUCCGUUUGGCUGGUAGUAAUUUUGAAAAUCGAUUCCUUGUAUAACAGAAUAACCAUUAUUAGCUUUUCCUUCCAGUUUUACCUUCAGCCUGCAAUGUAAAAUAGGUGAAAAGUCGUGAUUUUGUUGUGAUUUGCAGGAAACUCUCAUGUAAUGCUUGGUGAGCCGUUUGUAUUUUGUUAAUUAUGGAAAUGCAUCUUUUCAUUUGGAAAUCGUUUCUCUACAAAAAUUGUAUUUAGAUAAACCCAAGUACCCAAGCAGCAAUUGCAAGGAAAACUAUUUGCCCAAAAAUGUUUGAGGGUAAACUGACUAAGAAAUUGCGAAAUCCGAGGCAGAUAUCUAUGUUUCACCAGAGCAUACAUGACGAGGGACAACAAACAAUUGCAACCACCACCCAAUAAAAAAAAACAAAAAAAGCCCACAAAGCCAGGA